Long non-coding RNA from Parus major (Great Tit), 3326 nucleotides. RefSeq lists it as uncharacterized. NCBI's taxonomy places the organism in Eukaryota, Metazoa, Chordata, Aves, Passeriformes, Paridae. The transcript is spliced from 4 exons. The record is from RefSeq and is a predicted model, not a curated record.
CAGAGCCUGGGAAGCUCCUUUGCUUUCUCCCGUGUGUGGGCAGAGGUGGAUGAAGGCUGGGAAGGCUUUGUCUCCAAUUCCAGACUGAGAAGCUGAGCAGGGGAUGAAGGAGAAGAUGAUGAGGGAUGUGUAAACUACUCUGCAAGAUCAUCCCAGGAAAGGAACUAAAGGAGCCAGAAAUUAGAAGGAACCUCACCUACUGGGAAUGCUCCUGCCUUUCCAAAUCUCCUUCUCUGUGCCAUCCCUGGAAGAAACUUGUGAGUAAAUCUGGUUUUAUGUUUCUUUCUUUCAUUUCUGGAAGGCAGAAGUCUUGGAGAAACGUCUUCCUUUGUUCCUUGAAGGGCUGUGGUAGAGAGCAUGAAUUGUGGUGUGUCCUGAGGCUGGGAGUGCCAGAAGGGGGCACCUUCAGAAGACAGAAAUCACAAAAUCCCGGGUUCCCUCCUGCUGAAUCCAGAGAUGCUGUGUGGGGUGGGACUGUGGGGUUGUUGUUCAACAGGGCUGGUUAACAGCAGUUCAGAUUUCAGGAGAGGCAAGGCAAGAAAUUUCCUGUCCUCAUUGUUUGUUCUCCAGGAUGGAAUUCUGCGAGUGUCAUGCCUAACUUCACAGGUAGCUUGUUUCCUGGAUGUCUUGAAACAGAUGACCUGGAACAGACAGAACCUGGCUUUUUCCUCUUGCAGCUGUGUGGGACAGGAAUAUUCCAUUGUUAUUUGCUGGAAUUCACACCCUUUCUGAAACAGCUCCUUCAGGUCGAUUCUCAGUUUUGAACGGGUUUAGCUUGAUGCUGCCAUUUCCAAAACACUCCCUUCCAGAGAGGGAAUAACUUCAGGAGUGGCAUUCCAUGAGCUAUCAAAACCUCUCCACACACUGUGGCCAAAGACCUGGCGGGAUCUGUGGGAAUUCUCUGGCCUGGUGCUCCUUCUGCAAGAGGAGCCAUGGCAGUGUCAGUCUGUGUUGGUGUCACCUGAGCGUAGUUUCAUUCUCUGAGCUUCUGAGGAACACAAAUCCCUGAUUCAGGUCUCACCCUCAGCACAGCAGGUCCCACGUGCAGCAUCUUCCUGCCCAGCCCAGCUUCUGAUCUUUCUGGAAAAGCAGUUUGUUCCACAGGUGUUUGAGGACAGGUUUUACAGCAGGAUGCUUCUGUCAGGAGUGACCUUUCAGGAAUGCUGCUUGAAGAAAAUCCUGACAAACACCAGUGAGUGGAGAGGUGUGGGUGGUAAAAACCCUCACUGGAAUGGACUGGAGGAACUGGGAGUGGGUUUUGCUAAAUGAUUUAUCCUCCCUUUCACCACUUCCUCCAUAUCUGCCUCUCUUGGACCAUACCUGGUGGCAGGCAUGUCAGACACAGUUAGUUUGAUGUGGGAUUAUUUUAUGUCUAUCCGUCUGAAAACAAUUGUCAUGAAACACCAAAACCUUAGUAUUUCCUAGUGUUUAUUUAAUAUUUUCCUCUUGGCUUCUUGUCCUUAAUGCAGCAACUGAAAUAUCUUAAUGCAGCAAAAAAAUACCUUGCACUUAGCUUGCACUUUCUCCUCCUGCUGACUCCUCUGUUUUAAUUCAAAUCUGGGGGCUUUCUCUAGAAAACAAGUAUGAAUAAAGUACUUAAUGAAAGCUCACAUGGUAGUUUGACUUUUCAGGGUCCAGCACUGCUGUAGUUUAUUUACUUGCCAAGUAAUUGCCAGUUUGAAAUUGCAGCUCUACUCCCAAGUUUUAGGGCAGUCAAAUUAAACAGGAAAGAUCAUCCUCAAGGUCAGACAGGUCUGAGAGACUUUAAUGUCCUUGUUCCUGAUGUGGAGAGGGCACAGACUCAUCCAGGUCAGUGGAGAGUUUGUCUUUCCUUGCUCCAAAGUCUCCAGCCAAGUGUGGGAGAUGUGUGGAGCUCCCUGGUUUUCUGUUUGCUGCCCAGGUGAUGUCAGCCAAGUUACUUUUAGCUGGAGCACAACAAUUAGUCCUAUUUUAUCCCUCCCCAAGUGGUUUAAUUAAAUUUUACAGCUUCAAAACCCAUACUCAACUGCCAGGGAAAUCUAAAUUUCCAUCAGUAAAUGCUCUUAAAACAGCUAAAAAAUACCUGUGCCCUUAAAUUUACUUAGAAUGUGGCAGUGAUGAGGAGAUGGAAGUUUUAAAUGUAGUAAUAGGAUAAUAAGAGAAGGCUGUAUCACCUAUAAACCAUCUUGGAGCAGACCUGAAGAGUGGCCUAGAGGAGGUGGGAAUUCAGAGGUGAGGGAAUUUGGGAGAAGAUCCUAUCUGAGUCUUGACUCAGGUAUGAAGCCUUUGCUUUGUAUGAAGCAUUUAUUGAAACAGACACCAUUUCCACACCUCUGCGUUUUGUCACGAUGCUCUGAAACCUGGCUGGUGGGAGAUACAGGUUUAUUCAGGCAGCUUUAAAUUCCUGUGGUUAUAGAGAAAUACCCUCAGUGUUCAGAUGCUGGGAAUAUCAUGGAAUCACAGAAUGGUCUGGGUUGGAAAGGGACCUUAAACCUCACCUUGUUCUACCCCCUGCCAUGGUCAGGGGCACCUUCCUCUACCCCAGGUUCCUCCAAACCCCAUCCAACCUGGCCUUGAACAUUUCCAGGUCUGAGGAAAUCUGCAGGUAAAGCCAUAAAAGAUGUCACAGAUCAGGCACGUGAGAGUAUCACAAAUUGCUUAAUGCUACUGGUGUGACCAGAUAUGAAAUAUUGAUUUUCAGCUCUUUUAUGGCUGGAUGAUAUCUCUUAGCAUUGCAAAUGUACACUCUUUAAUCAGUGGAUUUCCACUCAGCUUUCCCGUGGUGAUCUGCCCAAAAAGGUCCAGACUAAGAGGUGCUUUUUGAACCAAAAAAGUUAAGGAGGUACCAAACCUUCACAAUAACCUGGAUGUGCUCCCUGUUUUAACCAAACCAGCAAAAUCAUAACGUGUUACCUGGGAGAUGUGGUGUUUUCUUUCCUGUUCUCUUCUCCUUUUAGGAGCUCCAUGCUGUGUUUCCACAGCCUCAGAAGGGGGGAAUGGUGAUGGGGAGAGGAGCCUGCUUUCCAGGCUAAAUCCUCCCUGACAUAAAUCUGUUCCAUUGGCACUGCAUUUUAUCAGGUCAGUGCAGCAGGCAAAGCACAAGGAGUGACAGCAAAGCAGGUAAGAGAUCCCCACUGGUUGUGUGCCCAAAUAUUACAACCAAAUGUCUACGUCAGCUGUGUGCUCUUUUUCAGGGAGGAGGAGGACAUCAGGAAGUCUCCUAAUCCUUGCUGCCUUGCCAAAUGAUGGAAAUGUGAAAGCUGCCAGAAAGAACAGGGAUGAAAAGUGUACAUUUCUAAUCAAUCUGGGAAAUUUUACAAAGAUAUCACCACAACACAUACUUACAG